UACGUAGGGUGCAAGCGUUAUUCGGAUUUAUUGGGCGUAAAGCGCAUGCAGGCGGUCAGGUUAGUCUGAUGUGAAAGCCCUCGACUUAAUCGAGGAAGUGCAUUGGAUACUGCCAGACUAGAGUGCAGGAGGGGUGAGCGGAAUUCCAGGUGUAGAGGUGAAAUUCGUAGAUAUCUGGAGGAACAACAGCGGCGAAGGCGGCUCACUGGACUGUAACUGACGCUCAGAUGCGAUAGCGUGGGGAGCAAACAGG
Molecule: ribosomal RNA, 253 nt
Filed under: uncultured bacterium
Lineage: Bacteria
Description: partial 16S ribosomal RNA
Rfam family: Bacterial small subunit ribosomal RNA
Source: RNAcentral